This 511-nucleotide ribosomal RNA is filed under the name uncultured Actinomycetes bacterium. Its description in RNAcentral is "bacterial SSU rRNA". It matches the Rfam family "Bacterial small subunit ribosomal RNA", at positions 8 to 522 of the family's 1533-position model. The record is from RNAcentral. Lineage: Bacteria; Bacillati; Actinomycetota; Actinomycetes.
AGAGUUUGACCCUGGCUCAGGACGAACGCUGGCGGCGUGCUUAACACAUGCAAGUCGAGCGAGAGCCAGUUGAGGGGUAACCCUCGGCUGGGGACAGCGGCGAACGGGUGCGUAACACGUGGGCAACCUGCCCCUGACACUGGGAUAACCCCGGGAAACCGGAGCUAAUACCGGAUACUCUCGGCCGAUCACAUGGCUGGCCGAGGAAAGGUCCGCCGGUCAGGGAUGGGCCCGCGGCCUAUCAGCUUGUUGGUGGGGUAACGGCCUACCAAGGCGACGACGGGUAGCUGGUCUGAGAGGACGACCAGCCACACUGGAACUGAGAUACGGUCCAGACUCCUACGGGAGGCAGCAGUGGGGAAUAUUGCACAAUGGGCGAAAGCCUGAUGCAGCGACGCCGCGUGAGGGAUGAAGGCCUUCGGGUCGUAAACCUCUUUCGGCAGGGACGAAGCGAUCAGUGACGGUACCUGCAGAAGAAGCCCCGGCUAACUACGUGCCAGCAGCCGCGGUA